RNAcentral lists this ribosomal RNA (397 nucleotides) under Arthrobacter sp. Its description in RNAcentral is "bacterial SSU rRNA". It matches the Rfam family "Bacterial small subunit ribosomal RNA", at positions 56 to 454 of the family's 1533-position model. Lineage: Bacteria; Bacillati; Actinomycetota; Actinomycetes; Micrococcales; Micrococcaceae. The record is from RNAcentral.
UGCAAGUCGAACGAUGAACCUCACUUGUGGGGGGAUUAGUGGCGAACGGGUGAGUAACACGUGAGUAACCUGCCCUUGACUCUGGGAUAAGCCUGGGAAACCGGGUCUAAUACUGGAUACGACCUUCUGGCGCAUGCCAUGUUGGUGGAAAGCUUUUGUGGUUUUGGAUGGACUCGCGGCCUAUCAGCUUGUUGGUGGGGUAAUGGCCUACCAAGGCGACGACGGGUAGCCGGCCUGAGAGGGUGACCGGCCACACUGGGACUGAGACACGGCCCAGACUCCUACGGGAGGCAGCAGUGGGGAAUAUUGCACAAUGGGCGCAAGCCUGAUGCAGCGACGCCGCGUGAGGGAUGAAGGCCUUCGGGUUGUAAACCUCUUUCAGUAGGGAAGAAGCCGG